UGCUAGUUGUACGAGCUUAGACUCGUUGCGGAAAGCUCAGUAACACGUGGACAAACUACCCUACGGAGAGCCAUAACCUCGGGAAACUGAGGCUAAUAGUUCAUAGGGGAGUCGCGCUGGAAGUGCCGACUCUCCCAAACGCUCCGGCGCCGUAGGAUGUGUCUGCGGCCGAUUAGGUAGACGGUGGGGUAACGGCCCACCGUGCCGAUAAUCGGUACGGGUUGUGAGAGCAAGAGCCCGGAGACGGAAUCUGAGACAAGAUUCCGGGCCCUACGGGGCGCAGCAGGCGCGAAACCUUUACACUGUACGCAAGUGCGAUAAGGGGACCCCAAGUGCGAGGGCAUAUAGUCCUCGCUUUUCCCGACUGUAAGGCGGUCGGGGAAUAAGAGCUGGGCAAGACCGGUGCCAGCCGCCGCGGUAAUACCGGCAGCUCAAGUGAUGACCGAUAUUAUUGGGCCUAAAGCGUCCGUAGCCGGCCACGAAGGUCUAUCGGGAAAUCCGCCAGCUUAACUGGCGGGCGUCCGGUAGAAACCACGUGGCUUGGGACCGGAAGGCUCGAGGGGUACGUCCGGGGUAGGAGUGAAAUCCUGUAAUCCUGGACGGACCACCGAUGGCGAAAGCACCUCGAGAAGACGGAUCCGACGGUGAGGGACGAAAGCUAGGGUCUCGAACCGGAUUAGAUACCCGGGUAGUCCUAGCUGUAAACGAUGCUCGCUAGGUGUGGCACAGGCUACGAGCCUGUGCUGUGCCGUAGGGAAGCCGAGAAGCGAGCCGCCUGGGAAGUACGUCCGCAAGGAUGAAACUUAA
This 807-nucleotide ribosomal RNA is filed under the name uncultured euryarchaeote. RNAcentral describes it as "bacterial SSU rRNA". It matches the Rfam family "Archaeal small subunit ribosomal RNA", at positions 52 to 859 of the family's 1478-position model. The record is from RNAcentral. Lineage: Archaea; Methanobacteriati; Methanobacteriota.